RNAcentral lists this transfer RNA (63 nucleotides) under Kaylathalia klovstadi. RNAcentral's name for it is "tRNA-Leu". Lineage: Eukaryota; Metazoa; Arthropoda; Collembola; Entomobryomorpha; Isotomidae. The record is from RNAcentral.
ACUAAGUUGGCAGACUAGUGCAAUUGAUUUAGAUUCUUUAAAUGAACUUUAGUUCACUUAGUA